Molecule: long non-coding RNA, 746 nt
Organism: Equus caballus (horse)
Lineage: Eukaryota; Metazoa; Chordata; Mammalia; Perissodactyla; Equidae
Source: RefSeq, a predicted model, not a curated record
UAGGAAGAAAACCCUCUACGAAAGAGCGAAAGGGAAACCUCACACUUUCUAUUUUUUAACGCGAAAGUUAGAGCAGUUGUAGCUUCCAAGCUGAAGUGGUAUGAUUUUCCCAGAACUUUUUUUUUUUUUUAAGAAGAAGGAAAUAUUUUAUCAGCAUAAAAGAUCAGAGUCGUGGCAGCAGCCCAAAGGAAAUCCUUUUUCUUUCCAACGUCUGGAUUGUGAGGAAAGUCAAAAAUAUCAUUUCCCCACCCCUCCUUUUACCUGAAUUUCCUUGGAAAACAAAGGAAGGCUUUUCAUUUAUUUAUUUAUUUAUUUAUUUUUUAAUGUUUUACUGGUGGAGAAGUUGCACGUGCAGUGAGCAGAGGCAAGGGGAGAGAGAAGUAGGAAAUCGGGACCGCCGAACCCCUGUCAGCACCUAUCUGUUGACAACGAUUAGCAGCACAGUCAGAACUGGAAAAGUGCGUUAUUCCAGAGCGUCUCGUUUCAAGAAAUCAGGCAGUACUUGGAUUAUGAGAUUUAGUGGCACAUAAACCUGCAUUUGAAGACUGGCUUUUCCACUUAACUAGCUGUGAGAUCUUAAUUUCUCUGAGCUUCAGUUCCCUUAUCUAGAAGAUAGACUGAUUUUCAAUUUGAUUUUUACAUUCAGAAGAUAAACCCUGACCCUGCUCUAGAUUUAAAAGUGAUCAAAUAAUGAUUAAUACUAGUUAUGGUGUUCCAUGAUCUUCCAAGGAGUGGGGUGUUCCACA